This 1391-nucleotide ribosomal RNA is filed under the name uncultured bacterium. Its description in RNAcentral is "16S ribosomal RNA". It matches the Rfam family "Bacterial small subunit ribosomal RNA". The record is from RNAcentral.
AGAGUUUGAUCCUGGCUCAGGAUGAACGCUGGCGGCGUGCCUAAUACAUGCAAGUCGAACGCGGGCACUUGUGCCCGAGUGGCGAACGGGUGAGUAAUACAUAAGUAACCUGGCCUUUACAGGGGGAUAACUGCUGGAAACGGCAGCUAAUACCGCAUAGGUAGGGACACUGCAUGGUGACCGUAUUAAAAGUGCUGCAAGGCACUGGUAGAGGAUGGACUUAUGGCGCAUUAGCUGGUUGGUGAGGUAACGGCUCACCAAGGCGACGAUGCGUAGCCGACCUGAGAGGGUGACCGGCCACACUGGGACUGAGACACGGCCCAGACUCCUACGGGAGGCAGCAGUAGGGAAUUUCCGGCAAUGGGGGGAACCCUGACCGAGCAACGCCGCGUGAAGGAAGAAGGAAUUCGUUCUGUAAACUUCUGUUAUAAAGGAAGAAAGACGGAUGGAGGAAAUGACAUCCGAGUGACGGUACUUUAUGAGAAAGCCACGGCUAACUACGUGCCAGCAGCCGCGGUAAUACGUAGGUGGCAAGCGUUAUCCGGAAUUAUUGGGCGUAAAGAGGGAGCAGGCGGCAGCAAAGGUCUGUGGUGAAAGACUGAAGCUUAACUUCAGUAAGCCAUAGAAACCGGGCAGCUAGAGUGCAGGAGAGGAUCGUGGAAUUCCAUGUGUAGCGGUGAAAUGCGUAGAUAUAUGGAGGAACACCAGGUGGCGAGAGGCGACGGAUCUGGACCUGCAACUGACGCUCAGUCCCGAAAGCGUGGGGAGCAAAGAGGAUUAGAUACCCUAGUAGUCCACGCCGUAAACGAUGAGUACUAAGUGUCUGGAAGUCAAAUUUCAGUGCUGCAGUUAACGCAGUAAGUACUCCGCCUGAGUAGUACGUUCGCAAGAAUGAAACUCAAAGGAAUUGACGGGGGCCCGCACAAGCGGUGGAGCAUGUGGUUUAAUUCGAAGCAACGCGAAGAACCUUACCAGGUCUUGACAUACUCAUAAAGGAUCCAGAGAUGGAUAGAUAGUUAUAUGAGAUACAGGUGGUGCAUGGUUGUCGCCAGCUCGUGUCGUGAGAUGUUGGGUUAAGUCCCGCAACGAGCGCAACCCUUGUCGUUAGUUACCAUCAUUAAGUUGGGGACUCUAGCGAGACUGCCAGUGACAAGCUGGAGGAAGGCGGGGAUGACGUCAAAUCAUCAUGCCCCUUAUGACCUGGGCUACACACGUGCUACAAUGGAUGGUGCAGAGGGAAGCGAAGCCGCGAGGCGAAGCAAAACCCAUAAAACCAUUCUCAGUUCGGAUUGUAGUCUGCAACUCGACUACAUGAAGUUGGAAUCGCUAGUAAUCGCGAAUCAGCAUGUCGCGGUGAAUACGUUCUCGGCCCUUGUACUCACCGCCCGUCA